This is a long non-coding RNA of Eriocheir sinensis (Chinese mitten crab), 5677 nucleotides long. RefSeq lists it as uncharacterized. The transcript is spliced from 10 exons. Lineage: Eukaryota; Metazoa; Arthropoda; Malacostraca; Decapoda; Varunidae. The record is from RefSeq and is a predicted model, not a curated record.
AGAGAGCUACAGUUGUGAAUUACGUUUUUUUAUUUACUACUAUAUAACCAUAAUAUUAAUAAUAAAUAAUAAUCUAGUUUUUUUACGGAAUCUUGAUGUUUUUAGGCAACCCAUCUAGGUUUUUCCAUAUCUAGUGAGUGGCAACACUGGCCACAGAAGAAGAAGAGGAAGACGAGAUGCCCGCCGUCCUUUCCCUCCCACACGAAAAGGAGACAGUUCAAGGGCGUGAAGAAAAAAGGAGAAAACAAUUAUGAAAAAAAAGCCUGAUACUUGCUGCUCCUGAAUAGAGUACAUAGGAGUGGCCAAAAAGAGAGGUCAAUUUCGGGAGGAGAGGUGUCCUAUUGUCACUACUGUGUGGUCGGCCAGCACCACAAAGGUGUAAUAAAGCCCACAGCAGCCAGACGCACCAGCAUGAGUGUGAGGGAGACAAAAACUGCCUUGGUUUUUAAUUUGGGAGAGAGUCUUUUUUUUUCCUUCAUGGUUUGGUCAGGCUGUGAGUCUCCCAGCCUUGCCGAUGGAAGAGUCUCCUCCCCGGCCUUCCUCCUCCCUUGCACCUCCACAACUCCUCUGGAAGGUGGAGAGGGAGGACACUAAUGCUGCCUGCUCAGUGUGGGCCCCAAACACCUACAUGCCAAGGAAGAGAACAUGAAGGUGACGGCAAUGAGAGAGGAGGAGGCAGAAGACGAGGGAAUGAUUCAAAUGCUGUGGAAGAGAGCUCUCUCGGAACUGUCUUGAAGAGGGUGUCCCACUCGCCUCCCUCACAUGGGGUCUGAAGGAUUAAAGAUAAAGGCAGGAGUCCUGAUGCGGCGCGGGGGCUUCGUGGUGCAGUGGUUAGCACACUCGGCUCACAACCGAGAGAGCCCGAGUUCGAUUCCCGGGCGGAGUGGAAAAACUUGGGUGGCUUUUCCGAUACCCUAUGCCCCUGCCCACCCAGCAGUGAUUGAGUACCAGAGAUAAGAAGAAGAGGAAGAGGAGGAGGAGGAUGAUGAAGGGACACACAGGAAUCAAUUGAGAUAAGAAGAAGAGGAAGAGGAGGAGGAUGAUGAUGAAGGGACACACAGGAAUCAAUUGCUCCGGAAAACGUCGAAAGGAAGAACCAAAGGAAGGAAGGAAGACCAUCUCAGAAGACCCCAGAGUCAGCCCCUACAGUCCAUCAUAGUCCAAGAAAUAGCUGAAGGAAGUCCCAAGUCCAAGCAACCUUCCUUUCUUUCUGAUUCAAGUUGCCUUUACCUUCAGUGAGGGGGCAAGGCGACCAUGGACCUCUCCCUUCCCUUCCUUUUCUUUCCUUUCCUUUCCUUUCCCUCCCUUCCUUCCUUUCCCUUCCCUUCCCUUCCUUCCUUUCCCUUCCCUUCCUUUUCUUUCCUUUCCUUUCCCUUCCUUCCUUUCCCUUUCCUGUCCCUUCCCUUCCCUUCCCUGUCAUCAGCCACACUGUGUCUGCCAUCCAUGCCUUGCAGCAGGCCAGCCAUGAGUUUGAUCCUUUGACAUCCUCUUGCUCUUCUUCCUUCCAAGCAAGCAGUCACUCUCUCCUCCUCAGCACAUGACCCAGAAGCUUCACUUGUCUUAUGCUUUUCAUCAAGUGCCUGGCUGCUGCUGCUCUUUGUCAUAGAGUUAAGUUGUCAUUAUCUUAGUUAGUUAGUUAGAAGUCCAGAUAAUUGUUGUAGCUAAACCCAAGACUCCUGUCCCUCCCUCUCCACCGGUCCCCCAAAUUCCCAGUCUGCGGAGGUCCGGAUAAAAGUUGUAUGGGCAAGACUCCUGUCCCUCCCUCUCCACCGGUCCGCCAAGUUCCCAGUCUGCGGAGGUCCGGAUAAAUAUUGUAUGGGCAAGACUCCUGCCCCUCCCUUCCUCUCCCUCUCCACCUGUCCCCCAAGUUCCCAGUCUGCAGAGGUCCAGAUAAAUGUUGUAUGGCCCUGUCCCUCCCUCUCCUUCCCUCCCUUCCUCUCCCUCUCCACCUGUCCCCCAAGUUCCCAGUCUGCAGAGGUCCAGAUAAAUGUUGUAUGGGCAAGACUCCUGUCCCUCCUUCCCUCCCUUCCUCUCCCUCUCCACCUGUCCCCCAAGUUCCCAGUCUGUGGAGGUCCAGAUAAAUGUUGUAUGGGCAAGACUCCUGUCCCUCUCUCUCCUUCCCUCCCUUCCUCUCCAUCUGUCCCCAAAGUUCCCAGUCUGUGGAGGUCCGGAUAAAUGUUGUAUGGGCAAGACUCCUUCCCUCCCUCUCUUUCCCUCCCUUCCUCUCCCUCUCCCCCAAGUUCCCAGUCUGCGGAGGUCCAGAUAAAUGUUGUAAGGGCAAGACUCCUGUCCCUCCCUGUCCCUUCCUUUCCAGUCUUUCUCUCUUGUUCCAUUAUUUAUUUUCUCUCCCUCUUGCAUUGCUCUCUCUCCCUGCUUUCAUCUCCUCUCCCUUCAGCCAUAUUAUCGUCUUCCUUCUAAUCCUUAUCAUUUUCUCUUUCCCUUUUACAUCUGGUUUAUUUCCUUCACUCUCUCUCUCUCUCUCUCUCUCUCUCUCUCUCUCUCUCUCUCUCUCUCUCUCUCUCUCUCUCUCUCUCUCUCUCUCUCUCUCUCUUCAAACCCAUUGGAAUAACAAUAAUAAUAACACACAUUGCAAUUCCAUCUUUAUUUAUCAAUAGAACAGCACACACACACACAGGGGAGGUCAUGUGGCUAUCUAUGGUGUGGGUUGGGUUGCUGUCUAAGAGGGCAUGUGUCUGUAGGGGUUAUAAACAUCCUGUUGACCUUAUGACCUGAGAGAGAGAGAGAGAGAGAGCGAGAGAGAGAGAGCGAGAGAGAGAGAGGGGUCCUGUUAUGUGGCUGGGGGUUAUGUGUCUGUGGGGAUUGUCAACAUACUGUGGUGGGACAUCCUGUGGGCUGAGGUGAGGUAUAUAUAUAUAUAUAUAUAUAUAUAUAUAUAUAUAUAUAUAUAUAUAUAUAUAUAUAUAUAUAUAUAUAUAUAUAUAUAUAUAUAUAUAUAUAUAUAUAUAUAUAUAUUCCUUCUUCAACAUCUCCAGGACUUGUUCAAUCUCCCAGGUGAUCUCUUCUCCUGACACUGCCACAUCAAGAGGAAGAGGAGGAGGAGGAAAGAGAGAGAGGAGGUACUCUAUGUGUGUAUAUAUGUAUGUCUGUGUAUAAGGUUCCAUAGGCUAGAUCUUCCCCCGGCCUUCUAUGGCUCAAAUUAUGCCCCCACAGAAGGGUUCGGGGAGGAGCCAGUCUGUGGAACCUGAUUGGACGUUGUCAAAAUAUAUAUUAAUAAAGUUUUUGAAAUUAAGAAGAAAUUGUGUGUUUUACUGUGUGUGUGUGUGUGUGUGUGUGUGUGUGAGAGAGAGAGAGAGAGAGAGAGAGAGAGAGAGAGAGAGAGAGAGAGAGAGAGAGAGAGAUUACUUCUCCUUCUUCUGUUCCUCUUGUUAUCUCUUCCUCCUCCUCUUCUUCCUCCAAAUCUGUGAAUACAAAUUUUUAUUAAUGGAAUGAAAUGGAAGAGAGAGAUUUAAAGGAGAGAAAAGGAAAGAAGGAAAUGGGUAUAAAUUUGAUGAACGGAGGAGGAAGAGUAAGUAGAAGGAGAGGGAGAGAGGAAGGAAUGAGAAAGAGAGAGAGAAACAUACAUUUAGAGAGAGUAGACCUGACAGCCUUACACACACACACACACACACAAAGAUACACAGAUGAUGCUCAAAUAGACAGGUAAAGCACAAGACAUUAUUAAUUAAGUAAGUUACCUUAGGAAAGAAUUAUAUUGUUAUAGUAUGAGACAGAUAUUAUUAUAGCAUGAGAGAGAGAGAGAGUCAGUCACAAAUAUCUCUCUCUCUCAUAUAGAUAGAUAGAUAUAAUGUACUACAGCACAAAGCCCACCAAUAUAUACUUAACCCCUUGACUGCAGAUUUCCUACAAGACAACAUCUCUAAGCUACAGCAAUGGAUCAAAAAGUGGCUGCUACAAUUCAAUGAAGAAAAAUCUAAUGUCUUGCACCUUGGGAGGGGAUACCCAGCACACCAAUACCACAUGGGAAACACUCCACUAUCCACCACAGAGAAAGACCUGGGAGUGUAUGUUACCAGGCUACCAGUGAAGGGAUAUCCAGCACACCAAUACCACAUGGGAAACACUCCACUAUCCACCACAGAGAAAGACCUGGGAGUGUAUGUUACCAGGCUACCAGUGAAGGGAUAUCCAGCACACCAAUACCACAUGGGAAGCACUCCACUAUCCACCACAGAAGCAGAGAAAGACCUGGGAGUGUAUGUAACCAGGCUACCAGUGAAGGGAUAUCCAACACACCAAUACCACAUGGAAAACACCCCACUAUCCACCACAGAGGCAGAGAAAGACCUGGGACUAUAUGUUACCAGGCUACCAGUGAAGGGAUAUCCAACACACCAAUACCACAUGGAAAACACCCCACUAUCCACCACAGAGGCAGAGAAAGACCUGGGACUACAUGUUACCAGGCUACCAGUGAAGGGAUAUCCAACACACCAAUACCACAUGGAAAACACUCCACUAUCCACCACAGAGGCAGAGAAAGACCUGGGAGUGUAUGUUACCAGGCUACCAGUGAAGGGAUACCCAGCACACCAAUACCACAUGGAAAACACUCCACUAUCCACCACAGAGGCAGAGAAAGACCUGGGAGUAUAUGUUACCAGGCUACCAGUGAAGGCGAAAUCCGUGCCAAUCACAGCGGACGGGUUAAUGAACCUGAAAUGAAAUGAAUUAUAGGCAUUUGAAAAGCAAUAGAUCGCUUGAGUAGGACCUGACUACACUGUUUGAUGCAAGGUUGUUUUUUUGCGAGCUUGUAUGCUGUAUUAUCCAUGCUGAUCAGAAUGUUUGCAAUUUAUAAAGACUGAGUUGUUUUUUUGUAUACAUAAACAUUCAUGUAUAUCAUUGAAAAAUCAGCUUGGGUAUCUAUUUCAAGAGCUGAUUUUCAUGUAUUCAAGGAGUAGAAAUGCACAGGUGCCACAUCUGUCAAAAGUCCCACUUUGUUGGUGGACAGAUGGAAUGAAACAAGACUAUAGUUGGUCACCAUAACACACCACCCAAAUGCUCACCCAUAAACUGUCCCUAAAUUACAGUCUGACGCACACACCAACACACACACACACAGGAGUUACAGUGACAGUGAUGAUAAAUGAAAUACUAAAUAAAUGGUAAUGAGCUGGUGCUGAAUGAGUACUUUUAUUCUGUUACUGUUUGGUUGGUUGGUGACCAUUAUGAUACACUGCCUGACAAGUUACUCAACACUAAAGGAGGAGGAUUGUUUACCUAGUAAAAACAUACGGCAAGUUGGCAACAUUACCGCAAGGAUUAAUUAAUCUCACUUGUCAGUUCAUACUUAUAAAUUUAUAAUAAUGUAGGAUUUUUUUUUGGUAUACAUAUACCUUAUAAAGGUAUGAAGGCAGCCUACCCCAUCCUCACCUGUAUAUACCUUAUAAAGGUAUGAAGGCAGCCUACCCCAUCCUCACCUGUAUAUACCUUAUAAAGGUAUGAAGGUAGCCUACCCCAUCCUCACCUGUAUAUACCUUAUAAAGGUAUGAAGGCAGCCUACCCCAUCCUCACCUGUAUACACUUUAUAAAGGUAUGAAGGCAGCCUACCCCAUCCUCACCUGUAUACACUUUAUAAAGGUAUGAAGGCAGCCUACCCCAUCCUCACCUGUAUACACUUUAUAAAGGUAUGAAGGCAGCCUACCCCAUCCUCACCUGU